ACCAGCAUCUAUAUCACCCUGCAGCUCUCAACUGGCUAGCAGGGUUGAGCCUUAUCAGUAUCUGGAGGGGAGACUCCUGGGAAGCUAUGGUUGCUGCUGGAA
This 102-nucleotide ribosomal RNA is filed under the name Lepisosteus oculatus (spotted gar). The record is from RNAcentral. Lineage: Eukaryota; Metazoa; Chordata; Actinopteri; Semionotiformes; Lepisosteidae.